Molecule: ribosomal RNA, 200 nt
Filed under: Lipotrophidae sp.
Lineage: Eukaryota; Apicomplexa; Conoidasida; Neogregarinorida; Lipotrophidae
Description: partial small subunit ribosomal RNA
Rfam family: Eukaryotic small subunit ribosomal RNA
Source: RNAcentral
GAUUAAUAGGGACAGUUGGGGGCAUUCGUAUUUAGUAGCUAGAGGUGAAAUUCUUAGACCUACUAAAGACGAACUACUGCGAAAGCAUCUGCCAAGGAUGUUUUCAUUAAUCAAGAACGAAAGUUAAGGGAUCGAAGACGAUCAGAUACCGUCGUAGUCUUAACCAUAAACGAUGCCGACUAGAGAUUGGGAAGCUGUCA